RNAcentral lists this ribosomal RNA (586 nucleotides) under Glomus sp. DQF07. RNAcentral describes it as "eukaryotic LSU rRNA". It matches the Rfam family "Eukaryotic large subunit ribosomal RNA", at positions 204 to 637 of the family's 3401-position model. Lineage: Eukaryota; Fungi; Glomeromycota; Glomeromycetes; Glomerales; Glomeraceae. The record is from RNAcentral.
CAUGGAGGGUGAGAAUCCCGUCUUUGACUCAGUGCAUGCUACUAUGUGAUACGUUUUCAAAGAGUCGAGUUGUUUGGGAAUGCAGCUCAAAAUGGGUGGUAAAUUUCAUCUAAAGCUAAAUAUUGGCGAGAGACCGAUAGCGAACAAGUACCGUGAGGGAAAGAUGAAAAGAACUUUGAAAAAAGAGUUAAACAGUACGUGAAAUUGUUGAAAGGGAAACGAUUGAAGUCAGUCGUACCGACGAGAAAUCAACUCAUCGAAUGGGUAAUUGCGGGCGUAUGAGAAGCUUCACGGUCUCAUUGUUUGCGAAUGCAUGUUCUCUGGGUGUACUUUUUCGUAUGGUAGGUCAACGUCGGUUUCGAUUACUAUAAAAUGAUCGGAGGAACGUAGCUUCGAUUUCGGUUGAAGUGUUAUAGCCUUUGGUAGAUGUAGUGAUUGAGACCGAGGAUUGCAACGAAUACCCUUUUGGGCUAUCCGUCUGACCUCUGAUACGUGGCCUUGGUAUUGAAAGCGUGCUUAUGAUAUUAAGGUAUUACGGUCAAAAGGUUAGAACGGAUUACAUUCGUUAAGGAUGUUGACGUAAUGG